AGCGUUGUUCGGAAUUACUGGGCGUAAAGGGCUCGUAGGCGGCCCACUAAGUCAGACGUGAAAUCCCUCGGCUUAACCGGGGAACUGCGUCUGAUACUGGAUGGCUUGAGUUUGGGAGAGGGAUGCGGAAUUCCAGGUGUAGCGGUGGAAUGCGUAGAUAUCUGGAGGAAUACCGGUGGCGAAGGCGGCAUCCUGGACCGGCAUUGACGCUGAUGAGCGAAAGCUAGGGGAGCAAACGGG
Molecule: ribosomal RNA, 240 nt
Filed under: uncultured bacterium
Lineage: Bacteria
Description: partial 16S ribosomal RNA
Rfam family: Bacterial small subunit ribosomal RNA
Source: RNAcentral